This 660-nucleotide ribosomal RNA is filed under the name Triticum aestivum (bread wheat). RNAcentral describes it as "partial small subunit ribosomal RNA". The record is from RNAcentral. Lineage: Eukaryota; Viridiplantae; Streptophyta; Magnoliopsida; Poales; Poaceae.
AUGGGCAUCGGAAAAAAAGUUACACACACCAUCAAAGUCCAAAGCUUCAUGUCCUCGACUGAUGCAUGGGGACCUGUCGCGACCCACGAAGGCUUCUUCAUGGAGCGGUGGAAGGAAAUAGACCGCAAUGACACUCCAGUUGUCCUCCAUGGUGGCAUCAUCCACUGGUUACUAUACAAGGAUGUCAAGAUCCUCACUUAUGACGUUCGCGCGGCAGAGCCAGGCAUGCUGGAACUCCCGUUCCUAUGCCCCGAAAUUACUGACUACAACGCAGACCAGCUGCACCUGAGGUCCUACUCGUCACCAGAUGGGUGCCUGCUACUAAGGCUGCUUGUCGUGGCUGGGUGUACUAUCUCCUUGUGGCAUCAGCUCUCUUGUGGUGGUUGGGCACUAGAUACUGUAACCAAGAGGCAAAGCUACGUUCGCUUUUCCCCAAUCUUCCUUCCGACCAUCCUGUUCAGAUUUUGCUUACGCACUCCGGCAAGACGAGCAAUGUCGUGUUUGCUGCCCUUUCGUGGUGUGCAAACAGGUUUUCGCACCCAAACCGUUUUACUUGAUUUGGAGACAAAGGAGAUGCACAUGAUCAAGAAAUAUUGGAACCCCUUUCUUUUGGAGUUUGACUUGGGUUCCCGUCUAAGAGCCAUGAAAAUAUUUUUCUAA